This 253-nucleotide ribosomal RNA is filed under the name uncultured bacterium. RNAcentral's name for it is "partial 16S ribosomal RNA". It matches the Rfam family "Bacterial small subunit ribosomal RNA", at positions 524 to 776 of the family's 1533-position model. The record is from RNAcentral.
GACAUAGGUGACAAGCGUUGUCCGGAUUUACUGGGCGUAAAGAGCGCGCAGGCGGUCGAUCAAGUCGAGUGUGAAAGCCCCCGGCUCAACUGGGGAGGGUCAUUCGAUACUGAUCGACUCGAAGGCAGGAGAGGGUAGUGGAAUUCCCGGUGUAGUGGUGAAAUGCGUAGAUAUCGGGAGGAACACCAGUGGCGAAGGCGACUACCUGGCCUGUUCUUGACGCUGAGGCGCGAAAGCUAGGGGAGCAAACGGG